GGGGAUGUAGCUCAGAGGGUAGAGUGCUUGCCUCGAAUGCAUGAGGCCCUGGGCUCAAUCCCCAGCACCACAA
This 73-nucleotide transfer RNA is filed under the name Marmota marmota marmota (Alpine marmot). It matches the Rfam family "tRNA". From Rfam's summary of the family: Transfer RNA (tRNA) molecules are approximately 80 nucleotides in length. Lineage: Eukaryota; Metazoa; Chordata; Mammalia; Rodentia; Sciuridae. RNAcentral also lists the same sequence under 1 other name. The record is from Rfam by way of RNAcentral.